GCAACUCCUCUCAAACCACACAACAGAAUUUCACGAAACCUUUUCAGAUAAUAAGGACAUACUAUGUAGUUGUGCAUAUCGACGGGAAAUUGCGUUUCAAUUUUUUUUCUAGGAGUUACGCCCCUUUGAACUUAUUUACUUUAAUGUACGACUGCAACAGUUUGUCAUCGCAACUCCUCUCAAACCACACAACAGAAUUUCACGAAACCUUUUCAGAUAAUAAGGACAUACUAUGUAGUUGUGCAUAUCGACAGGAAAUUACGAUUCAAAUUUUUUUCUAGGAGUUACGCCUCUUUGAACUUAUUUGCUUCAAUGUACUUCUGCAACAGUUUGUCAUCUCAACACCUCUGAAACCACACAACAGAAUUUCAUGAAAUUUUGUAGAAAAUAAGAACAUACUGUGUAGAUGUGCAUAUUGACAGGAAAUUAUUAGUCAUUAUUUUUUCUUAUUCAAUUUUUUUUUCUUACACAAAUUUAAUUUCUCAAAUGACAAUGUGGGGA
This 501-nucleotide long non-coding RNA is filed under the name Mytilus galloprovincialis (Mediterranean mussel). The record is from RNAcentral. Lineage: Eukaryota; Metazoa; Mollusca; Bivalvia; Mytilida; Mytilidae.